ACUGCCCCUAGAGGCGUUGCCCCUAGUGGCUGUGUGUCAUAUGUGUGUCUGUAGGUGGCAGAGAGGAGGCUAUGUCUAUGCUCAGUGUUCUGACCUGAGACCAUCUGAAUGGUUAGUAGCCUUACAUU
Molecule: small nucleolar RNA, 128 nt
Organism: Meriones unguiculatus (Mongolian gerbil)
Lineage: Eukaryota; Metazoa; Chordata; Mammalia; Rodentia; Muridae
Source: Ensembl